Molecule: ribosomal RNA, 101 nt
Filed under: Cyanosporus caesius
Lineage: Eukaryota; Fungi; Basidiomycota; Agaricomycetes; Polyporales; Postiaceae
Description: Postia caesia partial 5.8S ribosomal RNA
Rfam family: 5.8S ribosomal RNA
About the family: 5.8S ribosomal RNA (5.8S rRNA) is a component of the large subunit of the eukaryotic ribosome.
Source: RNAcentral
GAUAAGUAAUGUGARUUGCAGAAUUCAGUGAAUCAUCGAAUCUUUGAACGCACCUUGCGCUCCUUGGUAUUCCGAGGAGCAUGCCUGUUUGAGUGUCAUGG